Molecule: ribosomal RNA, 468 nt
Filed under: uncultured bacterium
Lineage: Bacteria
Description: partial 16S ribosomal RNA
Rfam family: Bacterial small subunit ribosomal RNA
Source: RNAcentral
GACGAACGCUGGCGGCGUGCUUAAUACAUGCAAGUCGAACGGAAAGGCGCUGCUUUUGUGGGGUGCUCGAGUGGCGAACGGGUGAGUAACACGCGAGUAACCUGCCCCUGACUGUGGGAUAACAUUAGGAAACUGGGGCUAAUACCGGAUAGGAUCUCCUGAUGCACGGUGGGGGUUGGAAAGUGUCGGCGGUUGGGGCUGGACUCGCGGCUUAUCCGCUUGUUGGUCGGGUAGUUGCUUACCAAGGCUUUGACGGGUAGCCGGCCUGAGAGGGUGACCGGCCACAUUGGGCCUGCGAUACGGCCCAGACUCCUACGGGACGCAGCAGUGGGGAAUAUUGCACAAUGGGGGGAAGCCUGAUGCAGCAGCGCCGCGUGCGGGAUGACGGCCUUCGGGUUGUAAACCGCUUUCGCCUGUGACGAAGCGUGAGUGACGGUAAUGGGUAAAGAAGCACCGGCUAACUACGUG